AAAAUAAAGAAGCACAGCCAAUUGUUUUGAGAGUAUUAUAAUUCGGACUCUGUAAGUUUUUUUUCAACAAAGUUUUACACACGUGAACGCAAGACAUUGGCAUAAUGUUUUUAUCUUGUGCGGUUACAUCACUGCUCUAGGUUAAGUGCUCACGCACAUGUUUAACCCCAACAUAUUAUGUAUGGGCCUGCAGUGCAUUGGUUUUCGGUGGUUUAUGUCUGUUAUAAAUUUUUUUCGGAAUUGUUUUUUAUUAUAAAUAAGACCGUUAAGUCUCUUAAUUAAAUUGUUUACAUUUUUUUAUGUUGUGGCCUUUUAUAGCCUUUGCGUUAUGGGUUUUUAUCAUUGUUGAAAGCCGUAUGGUUUAUAAUUCAAUUUGCUCACAUCCAUUUUAUUUGAACUCUGGUGUAUAGUUGUCCCUCUGGAAAUCAUACCAAUCUCUUAAAUUUAAAAAUUGAUAUCACAACCUGUUUACAUACUUAGUGUAGUAUGUAACAAAUUAAAAAAAAACACACACACACAUUUCUUUUUUUAAGGGC
RNAcentral lists this long non-coding RNA (536 nucleotides) under Mytilus galloprovincialis (Mediterranean mussel). The record is from RNAcentral. Lineage: Eukaryota; Metazoa; Mollusca; Bivalvia; Mytilida; Mytilidae.